GGUAGAACUGAAGAUGAUGUGAAGGAUUUUGUCUGGUUCAUUUGGAGUGCAUUUGAAGGGUGAAAAAGAAGACAAAGAGGAAGCUUGAGAGACUCGAGUCUGGAUACUAGCCAUGGAGGAGGAUUAUAUGAAGAGGAGCCACCCUGAUGUCAUAAUGCAGCAGCAUACCAGCAAUGUGGAUAAGGGCUACUCCGAGACCAAGCGCGCCGAUUCGGGGCCAAACGGCUGCAUGCGGUGCUGCAUGAGUACCAAGAGGUGCCUGAUGAGCCCAGAAUGUGGCAGAGCGCUCAGCAUCGCUAACGUCAUCGCUAUGUGUGGCAUGUGUAUCCGCAUGUGGACGUAGAUUUCUGCUGCUUCUGAGUCAAGAACAGUUUGUCUCCUGGCGGCUGCCGUCCUGAACUAAAAACAAUAGGAGGCAUCAUGAAUUAUGGAAUCUCUACUAAGCAGCCAUUAUAACAUACCCGAUUGAACUCCUAUUUAUGAAACCCUAUUUUAUCACCUCAAUCAUUAAAUAAAUAUCUUUUGAGUCAUA
Long non-coding RNA from Ictalurus furcatus (blue catfish), 532 nucleotides. RefSeq lists it as uncharacterized. The transcript has 3 exons. Lineage: Eukaryota; Metazoa; Chordata; Actinopteri; Siluriformes; Ictaluridae. The record is from RefSeq and is a predicted model, not a curated record.